Non-coding RNA from Callithrix jacchus (white-tufted-ear marmoset), 17998 nucleotides. NCBI's taxonomy places the organism in Eukaryota, Metazoa, Chordata, Mammalia, Primates, Cebidae. The record is from RefSeq and is a predicted model, not a curated record.
GUGUGUGUGAGAGAGAGAGAUUCCUUUAACAUUAAGGAGCAUCAGUGAGAAAAGAUGAUGAGGCAGGAAUUAAUAAAGAAAUGAAGUCGUGUGUGUGUGUGUGGUUGCCUCUCAGUGGGCCCAUAAUUUCAUAAACGUCAUGCCUGGACAAUUUGAUAUUCAUCUUUAACACCCCUACAUCUUUUCAUUAAAGGAAUAUGGGCUGAGUGCAGCGGCUCACAUUUGUCAUCCUAGCACUUUGGGAGGCCAAGUUAGCAGAAUCGCUUGAGGCCAGGAAUCUCAGACCGAUGUGGGCAACAUAGUGAGAUCCCAUCUCUACAAAAAAAAUUAAAAAUUAGCCAGGCACGGUGGCAUAUUCCUGUAGUCCUAGCUACUCAGGAGGUUAUGGUGGAGGAUUGCCUGAGCCCAGGAGUAAGGCUGCAGUGAGCUAAGAAGGAGCCACUGUAACUCCAGCCUGAGCCACAGAGUGAGACCCUGUCUCUAAGGAACAACAAAAAAGAAAGAAAGAAAGUGGCUACUUCUCAUGAAGCCCAGAUUAAAGUUUCUGUGAAGAUGGUCUGUGAACUGUUGUUGGAAUGAAAUUGGAGUCUAGCACAAAUUAAGUUAAUCUACUCUGUAUUCAUCAUUGGGCAAAAGAAAAUCUUUAUUUGCAAAUAGUCUUUUUCCUUCACCCACACUAAUAGAAAAAGGAGACUAGUUUGUUCCUACUGGAUUCCACUUGGGAUGAAAAGCAUGUUUUCUUCUUUGUUUCCGAUUUUUUAAAAAUGCUUCUGGGCCAGUGCGAUCCAUGUGUUGGUGCCUAGGCUGGAGGAAGGAGUUUCUUGGAGGGAAACAGCCACUGGGGCUCCGCGGAGGGCCAGGUGGGACCUUCCUUCCCAGUCACACUCUGUGUCCUUGCAGUCCCCUUCACAGUCUAGAUGAGUAGCCUAGCUUCAUUCUCAAAGACAGAAAAAGUAUUUGCUUUUCAACAUAGAAAGUGCAUAACCCCAGAUGAGACUGAGCAUGUGGUUCCAAUCCACUACAGCUCAUCUGCUUCAGGCCUGCCUUCUCCUGUCCCGUGUCCCAGGGCUGCAGGCCCGAGUCAUUCGGGUCCAUCACAUCUUCUGAAGGCCUAGGAGGAGCCAUCCUCAGUCACCCCAAGCUCUGUAAAAGGUCGAAACACUGCCAGCACCUCAGUGCACCACUGUGUGGGCUCCACAUGGGAAAGGCCCGACCAAGCCUUGCCCUCAGAGGCUAUUGAGAUAGUGCAGGCAGCCUCCCUAUCCUCAUUUGGAUGGAAUGAAACAGAAGCUCAAUAAGGCCAAGGGACUCAUGGAGGGCCCAUCCCUGGUAGGGUCCCGGAGCUGAGUGCAGCUUGCCCCCCACCCCCAGACCCUGAGGGGCUUGUUCAGUCAGGCCUCCUCCUGUCACUGCUGGAGUGGGGACUCUGACUCCUGUGUUUACCUCAGAGUGCACGUACAGGACAUCCAGUCUAGAGGUGAGGCUUGGUGACAGCUUCUACUGAUACUUAGAAUUGUGGGAGAGCAAGUCUGGAGGAGGAGGAGGAGGAGCAGCAGCGCUCUCAGCCAGCAGGGGGAGUGAUGAUUAUCAUUUCAGGUAGCAAGGAUACAUAUUUCCUACCUGGGGAAAGGAUUUGCAACUUUGUUUCCAGAGCAUUUUGAUUGGCUUCUUUUUCCUUUAAACCAAAAAAUGUUUUAAAUGUUUAAGGGUCAUGUGAAGCAGCUGAGCUUCUGGCAAGACCGCAGAACUGUCCUCUGAGUCUGAGGGCUGGGCAGUGCCACAGGACAGUCCCUGGGCUCAGGACUGUCAGCUCUUGUCAUGGGAGGAAAUGAGGCCCCUCAAAAACCCAGUCACUUGACAGAGGGCACACUCCCAAGGAAGCCCUGACUGGGGAAUCAUACAGCCUCUCAUCCAGGCCUCCCAGCUCACUGAGGUGUCCCCAGACUCCUGAUCGCCCUCCUCUCUUUCUCUCUUCUCAUUCAUCACACAAUAGAAGUACCCACUGACUAAAAGCUCAGCUGGGGCAGCAGCCUCCAAGGAGGCCUGCAAGUGAUGCUCCCAACCCUGGUUCCUGCCCCACCACAUGCAUCACUGCCACAGCUCUGCACAGCCACCAGAGGUUUCUUAUUUUUGUGAAAGAUUUAUUAUAUGGCAAUAAAUCUGAAUGAUAAACUUUCAUUAUACUUGCAUUGAUUUUGAGUAUUUGCUUAGAAAUUUUUACACGAAGUAAAUAUAUGUAAGAUGCAACACAGGAUCAUCAUGUGUUCAGAUGGAAAUUAACAUCUGAUUUUACCCAAGAUCUGAAGCUGUUACUGCAUUGUGUCAUUUUAACAACAAAGAUUUCUGCCACAUAUUUAAUUUUAAAAGAGUGUCCCUUUCAAUAGCAUCUUCCCUAUCAAGAGUUCAAGGCACUUUGCAGAAUAGCUUCAGAAUUCUAACUCUAGUUCCCACAGUCCCGCAUUGAGGGUGGUGUCAUACAAUCUAUGAACAACAACCUUGCAACAGGACUGCCACCAUUCAACAGUGCAGACAACACAGCUCAAGGACAAAGACAGAGAAAGGGAAGAAGAGAAGGUCCUGAAGGUGAGGCACAGAAAGUACACUGCACACAGUCCUCACUGGAAGGAAAUCACAGGGGCUGGGAAGUAGACAGUGGAAAGAGGAAUGGACACAGGACCAGCACCAGAACACUCAGCAACUUCCUAAGAGCUUGCUAAGUUACAUCCAAGAGAAAUAUUUAGUCGGGGAAACUUUUAAAUGCUAAAUAAACUUCUUAAUAUAUCAUACUUUAAGCAACAUUUUAUCCUUUAGAUUCUGAGGAGCCAGGGUUUUGCAUUGGGUGGUAUAGCUUUCUGCAUAACUGAGUUACCCUGUGCUACUUUGGAGAGACAUUAAGUUAGAGUUUCAGCACUCGCUAUACUUCAGAGGCUUGAGUCUCCUAAUUCUCUCCUAGGCACUACGCCUGCAAUAUCAGUAGUUGCCACUUGAUUUUAGGGACUGAUCUGUGCGCCUUCUGACUCCAGAUUCACAACUAUUCCAGCGUCCUGCAUCACCUCCUGGAGUCAAAGAGGUCAGAGUCUCUAUUCAGUGAUGAAGAGCCAAGCUAACUACGCAUAUGAAGAGCUAAGGAGUAGAUUAUAGCUCAUGAUCCACAGCAAAUAAUGCAUAUUUAUUUUGUAAGAAUUCUAUUAAAACAUUAAUCUCAUUAGGGUAUAGGUAUCAGGGUUCCCACCCAAAGCAAGGGAGAUUCACCAGCAGCCCCUAGCCCCUUGGUCAGGUCAUACUCUGACCCCUAAUCUGACUUCACAAGGCUAUCCCAAUGCCAGCUACUCAGACACAGCCUCUGGCCUUAGCAAAAACCCUGGAGGAAAAGCAACCCCACAGAGCUGAGCAGGUAAUACUUCACUGUCUUGUUGGCUCUGGGAUCCUUCAAGCAAAUUUUUUAAAUAUUUUGACCAGAUUUCCAAGUUGUCCUUGGCUGGAGGGUUGAUCCUUCAUUAUUAUCAUUAGACUAUCCCUCAUGGGCUCUGCAAUUCAACUUCUAAACCACCUCAGUACCUGAAUGUGAUCCAAGGUGAAACUAGAUUACUAAUGCCUUCAGGUGCCCAGCUGAAGCAAAUGCAAAUUCUGUGGAGAAAGUGAACAUAACCCAAGGUCUCAAAUUAUUUCUGCUGUGUCGCCCCCAGAAAUACCCAGGUAUGAGAGAAGACCAGACAACAUUAAUUACUUGAAUUAAAACCAUUAGGGGAAAACACAGACAACUAAUGUAGAUAUAUUUAAGUAAACUUUAAGGCAAUAAUUUUUUUAAGAAACAAAAGGGUCAAUUCAAUUACUAGGAAGAUAAUCUAAAUUUAUGUGUACUUAAAAUAUAACCUCAAAAUAUGUAAAAGACAGUUUGAUAGGAAAUUUAGGCAAAUAUGUAACCAGAGUGAUAUUUUAACAUGCCUAUUUUGUUAAUUGGUAGAAAAACUAGCAUACAAAAAUCAAGUUCUAAAAGAUUUAGCAAUGAAAUGAGCAACCCAAAUGGAUGUAUGUAGAACACCAAACUCAAUAACGUACUUUUCAAACACAAAUGGCACACACUAUAAAAUACUGAGCUAUAAAAAUUUCAACAGGCUAGAUGCAGUGGCUCACAUCUGUAAUACCAGCACUUUGAGAGGCCAAGGCAGGAGGAUCACUUGAACCCAGGAGUCUGAGACCAGCUUAGGCAACAUAGUGAGACUCCAUAUCUACAAAAAAUCCAAAAAUUAGCCGGGCAUGGUGGCAUGUGCCUGUAGCCCCAGCUACUUGAGAGGCUGAGGCCGGAGAAUCACUUGUGCCCAGGAGGUUGAGGCUGCAGUCAGCUAUAAUCGCACUACUGUGCUCUAGCUUGGGUGACAGAGCAAGACCCUGUCUCUGAAAAACAAAAACGUCUCAACAAACUUGAAAAUACUUCAAAUGAAACAUGUUCUCUGACCAUAAAGGAAUCAAGACAAAUUAUUUACAAAAAGAUAAUUUUAUAAUCCUCAUAUUUUUGGAAAUUAGAUUUCCAAGUAACCCAUCUAUCCAAAAAAUCAUAAUAGAAAUUUGAAAUAUUUUAAACUGAUCAUGAAAAUACUACAUAUCAAAACUAACGGAGAAAAAGUUUGUGGGAUACAACUAAAACUAUGCUUAGGAAGAUGUGUUUUAUUUUAAAAUUAGAGGGUACGUGUUCAGGUUUGUUAUGAGAGUAUAUUGUGUGAUGCUGAGCUAUGGGCUUCUAAUGAUCCUGUCACCCCAAUAGUGAAUAUAACCAAUGGAAAGUUUUUCAGCACUUGCUUCCCUCUCUCCUUCCCUUCCUCCCUCCUUUUGGAGUCCCUAGUGUCUAUUGUUCCCAAAAUAUAUAUAUCUUUAAAUGCUUAUGUUAGAAGAAAGGUUAAAAAUCAAUUAAGCAACUACCUCGAAAUCAAAUGAAACCUAAAAACAAGCCAAAACUACAGAUACAGAACACAAAUAUACAAUACAGGGAAUCAAAGUUAAAAGCUGGUUAUUUAAAAGGAUUAAGAGGAUUCAUCGGCUGGGUGCGGUGGCUCACACCUGUAAUCCCAGCACUUUGGGAGGCCAAGGCAAGUGGAUCACCUGAGGUCAGGAGUUUGAGACCAGCCUGACUAACAUGGUGAAACCUCAUCUCUACUAAAAAUACAAAAAUUAGCUGGGCUUGGUGGUGGGCACCUGUAGUCCCAGCUACGCAGGAGGCUAAGGCAGGAGAAUUGCUUGAACUUGGGAGGUGGAGAUUUCAGUAAGCCAAGAUUGCACCACUGCACUCCAGCCUGGGUGACAGAGUGAGACUCCAUCUCAAAAUAAAUAAAUAAAAGGAUUCAUAACCCCUUAAAAUACUGAUCAAAGAAGAAAGGAGAAAAGGCAGGAGAGAGGAAUAACCAGUAUCAGAAAGGACAACAGGCAAGUUACUUCAGAUUAUGCAGACAUUUAAAAUAUUUAAGAGCCAGCCUGGCCAACAUGGUGAAACCCUCCUGUCUCUACACACACACACACACACACACAAAUUAGCUGAGCCUGAUGGUGUGCGCCUAUAGUCCCAGCUAUCGGAGAGAGUAAGGUAGGAGGAUUACCUGAGCCCAGGAGGUAGAAGCUGCAGUGAAUUGUGGUCAUGGCACCACAUUCCAGCCUGGGCAACAGAGUGAGAGACCCUGUCUCAAAAAAAUUUUUUCUUAAAUAUAUAUAUCUAUAUAUACACACAUAUUUUAUAGACUAUAAUGAAUACCAAUAAAUUUUAAAUCUAGAUGAAAUAUUUAUUGCAGUGAUAGGUGUAUACAUAUAUCUAAUCAAAUUGUACACUUUAUUACAUAUGUGCAGUUUUUAUAUAUUAAGUAUGCCUUAUUAAAGUUGCUUUUAGAUUUUGCAUAAAAUGAACAAAUUCUUUAAAAAAAAAAAAAAAUAAAGCUCUCCAAAACUGACACGAAAAGAUCCUGAACAUUGGAAUCAUUCUAUAUCUAGUGCAUAAACUAAGUCCAUAAUUACAAUCUGCCACAGAAAAUUUACAGACCAAAAUGGAUUCAGUAGUGAAUUUAACCAAACAUUUAAGAGCAAAAUAGCCCUUUUGCGGCCAUGACCUGAGCGGGAGCUGCCAAAAUGAAGUUCAAUCCUUUUGUGACUUCCGACUGAAGCAAAAAUCGCAAAAGGCAUUUCAACGCACCUUCCCACAUUCGGAAGAUUAUGUCCUCCCCCCUUUCCAAAGAGCUGAGACAGAAGUACAACGUGUGAUCCAUGCCCAUCCGAAAGGAUGAUGAAGUUCUGGUUGUACGAGGACACUAUAAAGGUCGGCAGUUUGGCAAAGUAGUCCAGGUUUGCAGGAAGAAAUAUGUAAUCUACAUUGAACGGGUGCAGCGGGAAAAGGCUACUGGCACAACUGUCCAUGUAGGCAUUCACCCCAGCAAGGUGGUUAUCACUAGGCUAAAACUGGACAAAGACCGCAAAAGGAUCCUUGAACGGAAAGCCGAGUCUCGCCAUGUAGGAAAGGAAAAGGGCAAAUACAAGGAAGAAACAAUUGAGAAGAUGCAGGAAUAAAGUAAUCUUAUAUACAAGCUUUGAUUAAAACUUGAAAUGAGGGGGAAAAAAAAGAGCAAAAUAAUGCCAAUUUUAGACAGACUCUCCCAGAGAAUAGAAAACCUUCUAUUUGUUUUCUGAAACCAGCUUAACCCUACAUAUAAAAAAUCUGCCAAGAACAAUACAAGAAUUACAGGCUAGUCCUCAUGGUAUAGAUGCAAAAGGUCUAAACAAAAUGUUAGCAAAUAAAAACCAGCAAUCUGCAAAAACAAUGUGUAAAAAUACAUCAUGAUCAGAUUUGUCAUUCACAAAUCAAUCAGAGUUAUUCACAUAAUUCAGAAGGAAAAGUAAUGCAGGUAAAAAAUGUGAUAAAAUUCAGCAGUCUUGGGUGAUCGAAAUGUUUAGCAAACUAGGAAAAAAGGAAGCUAUCUUAAUCUUAUAAACAUUUAAAUGCUACAGUAAACACAUCAUACUUAAAAUAUUAAAAUCUUUCAUUCCGAGAUCAGAAGCAAAAAGAAUGUCUGUCAUCACUUCUAUUCAAAUGUCGCUAGGUAAUACUAUAUGUGCCUAAGUAUUUAGCGAGGAGUGUACUGGUACCUUAAAUUACUUUAAAAUGCAUUAUGAAAAGGGGAAAAAGGAUGGCUUGAUGGAUAGAUAGAUAGGUGAUAAAAACAGAUAUAGUAAACAUGGUAAAAUCUAGAAUGGUAGAAUCUAGAUGGUGGCUCUAACAAAUAUACACUGUAUAAUAUUCAAUUUUGCUAUACAUUGAGGAAACUAUCACCUGAGUUCCUAGCCUAAUACAACAAGAUUUUCUUUAUAAUUAAUUGGGUAGGGUCAGACAAAAAUGAACUAUCAUUAUUUGUAAAUGACAUGAUUGAGGAUAUAGAUAAUUUAAAAGAAUCAGACAAUAAACCUAGUAAAAUUAAAAAGGUUUCUAGAUACAAGGUCAUGACAAAAAUCACUUGUGUUUCUGAUGCUAGCAAGAAAUGAUUCGAAAAUGAAAUUUUAAAAGCGAACCAUUUACAAUAACAUUUUUUAAAACAUUAAAUAUACAGAAAUCGAUCUAAAAAAAUGUGACUGAAACUAAAGAUCUAAAUAAGGUUUCCCUAAAUAAGAGACCAUUCCAGGGUCAUUAGAUUCAUGAGUUGGAAGGCUCAACAUUAUAGUUGGUUCCCUCAGAACUGAUCUAUGGAUUCAGUGCAAUAUCAAUCCAAAGUCCAGUUCUUUGGAGGAAUAAGGAAACUUGACAAAUUGAUUCUAAAGUCUACAUGGACAUACGAAAUGCCUAGAAUUGCACAGAAAAUCCCGAAAAAGAAUAAAGCUCAUACUUACAUGGCGAGAUGUCUACAACUUACAGAUGUGCUCUGACCUAUAGGCCAGGUGUGGUGGCUCAAACCUGUAAUCCAAGCACUUGAGAGGCUAAGGGAGGAGGAUUACUUGAGACCAGUCUAGGCAACAUGGUGAAACCCUGUCUCUACAAAAAAAUUUUUAAAUUAGCCAGGUCUGAGGCUGGGCAUGGUGGCUCAUGCCUGUAAUCCCAGCAUUUUGGAAGGCGGAGGCGAGUGGAUCACUUGAGGUCAAGAGUUCAAGACCAGCCUGGCCAACAUGGAAAAACCCUGUCUCUACUAAAAGUGCAUUAAAAUUAGCCAAGCGUGGUGGCAAAUGCCUGUAAUCCCAGCUACUCAGAAGGUUGAGGCAGGAGGAUCACUUGAACCUGGGAGGUGGAGGUUGCAGUGAGCCAAGAUAGUGCCAUUGCACUCCAGCCUGGGUGACAGAGCAAGACUCUGUCUCAAAAAAAAAAAAUUGCCAGGUGUGGUGGUAUACACCUGUUGUCCCAGCAACUGGAGAGGCUGAGGCAGGAGGAUUGCUUGAGCCCAGAGGCAGAGGUUGCAGUGAGCCGAGGUCAUACCACUGGACUCCAACCUAAGUGACAGAGCAAAACCCUGUCUAAAAACAAAGACUUACAGAUUUACUCUAAGUUUAAUAUUGUUACAAGAGUAGACAAACUAUGUCGAUGAAAUAGAACUUAAAAGGUCCACAUAUGUAAGGACAGUUGAUUUGACUGCUGUAUAAUGGGGAAAUGGUUUUUUUCCCAAUAAAUGGUGUGGGCACAGCGAAGGGAAAAUGAAUCUUGACCUCUACCUCACUCUCUCUACAAAAUCAAUUCCCAGGGGCUACAGAGCUAAAUGUGAAAGGUUAAACCAUAGUAUUUUAGAAUAAAGCAUAGGAGACUAUCUUCAUGUCCUUAAGAUAGACAACAAAAAAUGCUAACCAUAAAGGAAAGGUCAGAUAAAUCAGAUUAGAGUCAAGUUAGGAACUUCUGUUUAACAGGAGACAUCAAUAAGAGAGUGAAAAGGUAAGCUACAGAGUGAAAGCAGGUCUUUGUAAUGUAUAGAACCACAAAGGGGUCAAAUAAAGACAAUAUAAAGAAUUCAAUAAGGAAAAAUAAAAUUGGCACAAGACAAGCAUUUCUGAAAAUUUUUCAGUUCACCAAUAACAUGGAAAAGGACUGAAAUCAAGGAAAAAUGCAAACUGAACCCACAAUGAGGUACCCGAUACCCAUUGCACAGUCACCAGAAUGGCUAAAUUAAAAAGGUCAACAAGAUACUACUUAGCCCAGCGCCUAGUGGCUAGGCUGAUUCUCUCCUUUCCAAUCGGACUGGCUAAAUUAAAAAGGUCAACAAGAUACUACUUAGCCCAGCGCCUAGUGGCUAGGCUGAUUCUCUCCUUUCCAAUCGGAGGCCUCUGCAAUAAACAUGCUCCAGAUCACCAAGAAGCACCCGUGCUUGCUCCUCCUCCUUGUAUUUAUUGGAGCUGGAGGUAUUGGAGCAGCACUGUAUCUCUUGCAUCUGGCAUUGUUCAAUCCAGAUGUUAGUUGGGAAAGAAAGUAUAACCCAAAGCCCUAGAACAAAGUAGGUGCCAGUGAUCAAACAAGUUCUACCCAGUGAAUGUGGAUUACGGCAAACUGAAGAAAGAAGGUCCAGAUUUCGAAAUGAAAUGUUUCACGAUAAAGCUGCUUUAGAAUGAAGGUCUUCCAGAAGCCAUCGCACAGUUUUCCACUUAACCAGGAAAUAUUUCUCCUCUAAAUGCAUGAAAUUGUGUUGAUGUCAUCUGUUGGAGAUUACACUAAUUAAUAAAUAACCGAAACAAAAAAAAAAAGGUCAACAACAUCAAGUGUUGGUGAGGAUGUGGAACAACAGGAAAUCUCAUACCCUAUAUGUAUUCCAUGUAGAAAUAUAAAUUGAUAGCACUUUGAAAAACUGUUUAGUAAUAUCCACCAAAGUUGAAGAUGCUCAUGCCCUAAGACCUAGCAACAGGUUAAAUCAAGACUGUUGAUGGUGCAAUUAUUCCUAAUACCUCAAAACUAGAAACACCAGGAAUAUCCACAGUAGAAUGUGUAAAUAAAUGGCAAUAUAUCUAUGCAAUGUAAUGCUAUACAGCCGUGAAAAAUAACCAGCUACAUUCAGUUACACAGGUGAAACUCAAAUGUUACAGCAUCCAAGAAGACUGAUAAAAAAGAACACAUACUGUAUGAGCUCAUUCACAUAGAGAAAAGGCCAAAAUAAACCUAGUUGUGGGAUGUACACUUAAGUAGUAAAACUUUGAUGAAGGACAAGGGCAGGCCUAGCCUGAAAACCAGAAUAUGGGUUACUUUUGGGAAAACAGAAGCAACCAUGAUUGGGAGGGGCACAGGAUGGACGAGAAGCUGGCAGUGUUCUGUUUCCUCAGGGCCAGUGGUCACAGAAGUGUUUCAUUGGCAAUAAAUCAGCGAACUGUUCAUUUUCAUCUUGUGUAUUUUCUGUAUGUUUAUUAGAUCUUACAAGUAAAACUUAAAGGUAAUCUCAAGUUAAUUUGCAUUUUAAACAAGACUGAUAGAAAUUUCCCUCAGAAUAAGUUGCUCACCUCUCAUGUCUCCUCACCCGCUAAGUUCUAGGUGGGUCUUGCUAGAGGAACAAUAUUGUAACUAGUCCUAAAACGCUGAAUGAGACAGAAGAUUUGGCUUCUGGGAGGUUGAGUUGAUUGUUUUUCUUAAGUUCUCAAGAUUUCUUCUUGGAUAUUUGAUUACUGUUAAAUGAAUUUCUACUGACUGAUGCAUGGAACCCAAUGAAACAGCUGUUCAUUGAAAUGAAUGCCAAAAUCGCCUCUCCCCACAGAAAGACAGUAGGCGCCAGUAAGCCCUGGCGGGCCCAGUCUCUACUCCCAGCCCCUUUCCCCCACCCAGUGCUAUCAGCCCAGCACCUGAGCCUGAGCAGGUGACCCCCUGCACCCAGCCAGGAACACUGCCUGCCAUGAGAAGGGCCCCUCCCACUAAGCAUGGGAAUUCCUGGUCUGUGUUCUUACCAUUUCCUGAGGCAGAGGAGGGGCCUCCAACUCAAGACAGGGAAUUUCUCCACACGUGUGGCAGCUGCUUUCUGGGCUCUGGGCCCCCAACUCUAAGCCAAGGCCAUGGAGAGAUGCUUAAACGUAAAGCCCUCAUGGCCACCCUGGGCUUUGGGGAAGCAGCUCCACUCCUCACCCCAGGAGUGGAGGCUGCAUGGCCCUGGGCAAGUCCCCCUGCUUCCUGACAUCACCGUCUUCCUUGUGAAGCAGUACACUUACAUGAGACACUGGGUAAGGGGGUGACAUCCUCAUGACAUUACAGUUCACAUAUCCGUUUUCUCACUUGCCUAUACUCAUCUCAGCCCCAGCCCCACCUGUGACAGAGGAAAGACAGAGAAAGAGGCUGAGAAGUCACACCGUACCCAGAACAGACCUCGCCACUCUCCCAUACCACACCACUGUCUCGUGGUCCUCAUUUUUAUGGGACAUUGAGGAACCCCUUGCACCUGGCUCCCACUGUGUGGCUGGGGACAUGGAUUGCUUCCUUGAAAAUGUUGCUAUUGCAGCUGACAGAGUAGGUUCACUGUCCCUGAAGGGAGCCCAGGAGUAGCCUGUCAGAGAAGAGACCUACCCGCUGGCCUCCAAGGUCCUUCGCUGCACUUGGGGAGACGAGGCAGAUUAGUGCGUGAGCCCGGGUGUAAUUCAGCCAAAUCAUCGUGGUGGCAUUGGGGGUGGGCACCUGUUCGUGGUCACCUUCAUGGCUUCAGAGCCUGGGUUCCAGUUCCAUGUGCCUGCUGUGAGAGCUCAGGCUGACACAGUCUCUUGGGGGCUCAGUUUCUACAUCCUCCUAUACCAAGGUGUGGCAGAACAAGGUCAGAGUUACUGAAAACAGGCCAUUUGCUUCUUUAGGCAGGGUUACCAGAGGGUUUGGUGGAGGGGUGGUGACCCAAACAACAGUUCUCAAAGUGGGAUUCAGAGACCUGGGGGUCCCUAAGGCACUUUCAUCAUCAUCAUCAUCAUCAGUUAUUUGCCUUCUCUCUUGUGGAGUUUUCCAGAAGCUGCAUGUGGUGAUAUUGCAACAGAUUAAAUGUGGAAACUGACACAAGAAUCUGGCUGUCUUCUGUCAAGGCAGACAUUGGAGAUUUGCAAAAAUGCAAAACAAUGCCACUCUCCUCACAAAUCUUUUUCUUUUGAAGCGUAGUAUUCUUCAUAAAAGUUAUUUAGGUUAGCAUUUCAUGGAUUUAGUAUUGUAAUUCUCUAGUGAAUUAACAUUUUUAAAUUUGCUUAACUUUUAAUAAAUAUGGGCAGACACAACCCACAGAAACAAAGCUUUGAGGAGUCCUCAGUGGUUGUUAAGAAUGCAAAGUGGUGCCAAUCCCAGAGACUCUGAGAACCACUGAUCCGAGGGAUGGUUUCUAGAGGGAUGGUUCUGGUCUCUGCUUCUCAGCCUGGCCUGAUCAAUGGUGUUAUCAGUGUGUGGAGGAAGAUAUAGAAAGAAUCUUCACAUCUGUGAGCGACGAGGUGACCGGGCUGCUCAAUAGACCACCUGACAGAGAGGAUCCAGAGAGAGGAACAGGCUGAGUCCGGGAGAUGAACUGUAGCAGGAUCCACUGUGGAGUUCAACCUUUGCGCCUGGCGGUUUGGGUUUAGGGGAGUGAGUGUCACCCAGUGGCUUCACUCUGGACAGUAAUUAGGAGUUCCAGUUGUGUGUAGUGACUGCCAGAAAUGAUGAUGUGAUUAUUCCUCAUUAGUAGACAUACCAAGUACCCAGGACAGCGUGGUCACUGUGCUGGUGACAAAUUCAGCUUUUGUCUAUCUAUAAACACCUCUGUCUUGUCUUCAUUUUUGAAGACGUUUUCAAAAUUCUAGGUUGGAGUCUUGCUCUUCACAGGGUCAGCUUAGCCAGUGACUUAAGAGGAGUUACUGGCUAAUGUGGGGCUCCUUCCUCUCUUGUUCCAGCCACACUGGCUAACCCAACCUGCACCCUCUGACUUGAGAGCCCAGGAAGCCCGUGACUUUGCUUGGGCUCUGUUUGCUGGUCCUGGUGUACUGGAGAGGCCGUGGGGAAAUGCAGGCGAAGGAGGAGAUUACUGAAUUAUUCCUAGCCAACAUCCAUGCUCGGCCACCUUCCCCUGCAGAGAGCACACACACCCUCCCAAAGAACAGAAGCCCAAAGGAAGUUCCAUCUUGGGACUGCACCAGCCUCAUGUCUGGUUGUGGUCUUCCUUCCUAAGUACAGGAGGCAACAGUCUGACCUAAUCUCUCUACCCAUACGGGGUGAAUUCUCACCAUCUACCACCAACCAACUCCAGUAAAUGCAUUUUAGGUGAUGUUAUUUGCAGUAAACAUGUAAUCUACUUGAGCUAAUUUGGGGAGAAAAGGGCUUAUUUCUGGAUAGCUGCCCAAUUCCAGGGUGAGCCAGGGACCUAAGCUUGGAUAACACCCAGCCAGGGAAAAGGCCCAGGACUGAGAGGCAACAUGGCUGCUGCCCUGCCCAACACUCAGUGUCCUGCCAUGCAGCUAGAGACCAGUCAGAUAUUCUACCCAUGGUGGCCCCGGAGAAGCCAGGGACCGCCGCUUCGCCCGAACGCCCAUGCACUUGCUGUGUCCGAUGCUCCCUCCACUUUCCGAGUCCCAGCUGGGUGGCUCUUCCUGGAGAAAGCUGGGCUGCAUGCGGAACCCCGGCUUCAGAGGCGCCUGGAGAAGGAAGGCUUUUGCUUUCCUGCCUCUAGUGUCAGGAGAGCCAGAGAGGGCUCUAUGUGGGAGACUGUGCCUCGCGACGCGAGAUAGACUGUGACGUCUGUACUUCAGCUUCGGCUAUGGUUUGAGGCUCAGUUGAAAUGACAUUCAAACAAUGGAGAAUAUGACUGGACCUGUAAUUCCAGCAUGUUGGAAGGCCAAGGCAGAAGGGUGGCUUGAAGUCAGGAGUUUGAGACCAGGCUGGGCAAUAUAGCAAGACCCCGUCUCUACCCAAAAAACAUUUUUUUUUUUAAUUAGCCACAUAUGGUGGUGUGUGCUUGUGGUGCCAGCUACUCAGGAGGCUGAGGUGGGAGGAUUCCUUGAGCCCAGGAGGUCAAGGCUGCAGCUAGCUAUGACUGUGCCACUGUAUUCCAGCCUGCAUGACGGAGCAAGACUCUGUCUUUAUUUUUUUUUAAAUGGAGAAUCUACCUUCUCAGGGAGCAGGGAUUUAUGUAUAAUUAUGAUUUCUGCACAUCUGUGUCCCACACCUUGUAAUCUACCUGAUUGCAGGAAAUAAUGGUUGAAUAAUGUCAGCAUUUAGCACUGUGUCUAGAAAUGGUAAGCCCUCAGAAAAUCAAAGCUAGUGUCAUCUCACAGACAGGAAGCCCCAGCGAGGGCAGAGGCAGCAGCCCAGUGCUUCCUAAGGUCACAUGCUCUGUCCCUCUGUACUUGACACCCUCUGGCUCCCUCAUACUCACAAGACGGCUGCCACAGCUCCUGGUGUUACAUCAAGGCAUGAUCUCAUCUGGAGCACAGCUCAGGAGUGGGGCUCCUCUCCCAAAGGCCCCUUCACAUGUCCUUACCCAGGCCUGUUUUCCACACUCAUUUCUAAACCAUUAUUGGCAAUGAGAGGAGUCUCCAUCAUGGCACCAGGAGGGAGCCAGCCUACGUAGCUGCAGAGAGAAGAAUAAGCCCCAGGAUAAUAAUCAGGCUCUGAUAUGGUUGGGAUGUUUGUCCCCUUUAGAUCUCAUAUUGAAAUGUGAUCCCCAGUGUUGGAGGUGGGGCCUGGUGGCAGGUAUUGGAUCAUGGGGGUAGAUCUCUCAUGAAUGGCUCAGUGCAUUCCCUUGGGGAUGAGUGAGUUCUUGCUCAGUUAGAUAUGGCUGUUUAAGAGUCUGGGGCCUCCCCCUUGGCUCUCUUGCUCCCUCUCUUGCCACAUGAUAUACUGGAUCCCCCUUCACCUUCUGCCAUGACUGUAAGCUUCCUGAGGCCUCACCAGAAGCUGAACAGAUGCCAGUGCCAUGCUUCCUGUAGAGCCUGCAGAACCAUGAACCAGUCAAACCUCUAUAAAUUACCCAGCCUCAGGCAUUCCUUUAUAGCAACGAGAAACAGGCUAACACAGACUCUUUCAGGAAGAAGGAUUAGGAAGGCAGCAAUGGGCAGGUGACCAACCAUAGUUUGCCCAGGGGCACAGGGGAAGGUCAGAGCCAGGUUUGUAGUGAAGACCCCCAUCCAGAGCCCUCCCAAGUCCCAGCUCUCUGCCCUUCAGUCAGAUGAAGCUGCUCUAGAGCCAAGGGACAGUUCCCAGGACAAAGGCCAGCUCUGCCUAUGUUGGCCAGGAGGCAUGGGGGAUGGAUAUGUGCAUAGCCCUUCAUGGCCUCCCCAGCCAGUCCUCAGCACCCCCUACAUACAUACACACACACACACACACACCCCACAGACUGCAUGAUGGAAGGCGACUUCUCCAUCUCCCAGAGUCUGCUUAAUAGGAAACAGGGUUUAGUGGAACAAUUGAUGGCAACCCGAGCCCUCAAACUGGAAACAUCUGUCCUUGCCGUAGCACAAGCUCUGCAACCCAGCUCCAGCCCAGCUCCUGAAGGGGCCAACCCCGCCUGGCCCAGGGGACUCAAAAAUCUUCCCCAAGCCUAGGAGGGGUCUGCAGACUCCCAGCUCUGGACCCCAGCGCCUCAUGGGCUCUUAACCUCAUGCUGCUCCAACCCCAGGCCACGGAGACUCAGAGCUGAUGGUCCCUGGGCUAGACUUUAUCUACCCACCCCUACUGGGGGCCAGGGCUGGACAUAGAGAUGUCUCAGGGGAGGGGUCUAGCCUUAGCCCCCCCAAGACCCUCACUCAUUCCCCUACCUCUGCUCCAUCUACACCACCCUUUCUGUCCCAUCUCCUUGGUCAGUCACUGUCUACCUUCAAGACCAGGCUCAGCAGCUGUCCUUGCAGCCAGCCCAGCUGUCAGAUGCCCCUCCCUGGGCCCACAGUGUUUGGGUCCAGACUGACUUCAUGAGGUUAGGAAGCCACUCCGGGCAGCGUCAUGCCAUGCACUUCACACACAAGUCCCACUGCCAUGCUGGCAUCUGUUAGGCCACCAGGAACCUCUGGACAGGAGAACUCACCAAAUACACCUGGGACCAAGGAGCCAUGGCACAGGGUUGGGACCACUGCAGGUUCCAGAAGAUAGAAGCUGAUACCCACACACUUGGCUGCUUUCUAGCCACUACUGCUGGGGUGGAGACCAGGGUGCUCCCCUCAAUCCCACUGGAGAGAACCUGGCCUUGGAGCAGCUGUCUGGCUACCCAGGGGCACCUGUGUGCCUGGGCUGUCACUGGACUCUCUGAACCUCAGUUUCCCCAUCUGUUCCUGGGAUGCCGAGCCUGUAGAAGCAGAACUGUGGAACACAAGGUGACAGAAGUGAAGUACCUGGGAAGCGGGGGAUGGAGACAUGUCAGGGGCUCAGUGGUGGCAGCUGUCACUGCAGGCUGCCAGGAAUGUUGGUCCUAACCUGAAUUCACCUGGAUGACAACCUCACAAAGAGAAUUUCCAGGGAAUUUCUCUGAGUGUAUGUUGAAAAGAUGCAAAGGCCAGGCAGGGGGAGGGGCAGCACCUAAGCCCCAAGAGCUCUGCCCAGAGCCUGGCACGGGGACCUUGUGGCAGGGCUGUUGGUCUUUCGGGUGAGGGUAGAGGGAGUAGAAGAAACUCUGCCUGGAGCUAGAGCCUGGGUCUUAGCCACCUCAGAGGAGGACUCACCUCAUUAAGCAGUUUAAAUCCUGCCUCCUCUAGGAAGCCAUCCUGGAUCAGCCCAGCCCCAGUGUCCUUCCUUCCCUGGCUCCCAAAGCUCAACCACAGUCCUGCCAUUCCCAUUCCCUUCCAAGGGCACAGAACAAACAAAACACUGGCCUUUCCUGUUCCCCAGUCUCCAGUCUGCAUCAUGGGGAUGACAUUCUUCCCUACAGACCUCAGAUGGCCAUGGAGGCCAGAGGGGAGAUUGGCCUGCCCUGAGGCUAGGAGGAGGCUGCUGCUUGGCAGGGGGCUGUUGGCUGAGGGACGUAGGGGCUGAAGGAUCUGUUGUCACGGGGAGAGGCUAGGGCCAGGGUGUGGGGAGAGGGGACACGCGGGAAGGUGAGUCCUGCUCAGGGACAGCCCCUCCAGCUGCUGGCUGCACUCACCCAGUACACCCCCACCAGGAUGGAGCUGGCAGAGCAGGGGGUAUCCAGGGCAGAGAAACAUCUCCAAACCAGCCACCCCAACCCCACAGAGAGCAGGAGGCCCCAACCCAGCCUCCUCCUCAGCUUAGAGACUAGGAAACCAGAUGUUGUGAGGCGGCCAUUCCAAAAUGCACAGAUCUUCAAAGCGGGGCUAUUUUCCAUGUCCUUUGGGCAAUUUUAGAACAAGUUUAUAAAGCUGGAAUGUUAAUGGAUGACAGUCGCGCUGUGCUCAUGCGUGCAUCUGUGUCUGGGCACCUUUGGUGGCUGUUGCUGCUGCAGCCUCUUGGGAGGUGGGGCAGGGGGUGCAUUUCUUAAAGGACCUCCAGGUUUCCUGUUAGGUUUGCUGCAUGUUACAAAGGACUGAACCUUUAGGAAUCGAGGGAGGGGCUUCAUGGCCAGCUGUCAAGGGGGUGUGGACAGCCCUGAGGACCCCCUGUCUGGGGUGGGGGUGGAAGGCACAGUCUGGUCUGAAACCACCCUUCACAUGCCCCUUAUCCCAGCUCCAUGUGGGAUCCAGGUGUAUUCACGGGCUGAGGUCGCCACGACAAAGUGCUGCAGACCGGGCGACUGAAACAACAGAUGUGAAUUUUCUGGCUGUUCUGGAGGCUGGACCUCCAAGAUCAGGGUGUGAACCAAGCUGGCUGCCCCUGAUGCCUCUUGCCUGGGCGUGCAGACAGCCACCUUCCCGCCGAGGCCUCGUGUGGUCACCCCUGGCCUGUGUCUUGUCUGGGCCCUAAUCUCCUCUUCUUUAAAGGACAUCUAUCGUGUUGGGUCAGGACCCACCGACCUGGCCUCACUUUAACUUCAUUACCUCUCUCUAAAACCCAUCUCCGCUGGGCGCGGUGGCUCGUGCCUAUACUCUCAGCACUUUGGGAGGCCAAGGCACGUGGAUCACGAGGUCAAAAAUACAAAAAUUAGCUGGGCGUGGUGGUGCGCGCCUGUAGUCCUAGCUACUUGGGAGGCUGAGGCAGGAGAAUCGCUUGAAC